UUCCGGGUUUCCAGACUUCCGGCAGGCCCUCAGCUGUCAAGAGGCGCAUUCCUCAUUUACCUUACAGCCCCAGGAUUCCUGGCAGUUUCCUAAGAACUCCACAGCUGGAAUGCAGCUGCUUGGGGUGGAGCAAGCAGAACUCUUGGUGAGAAGCCUGAAACUCAAGGAUUAGGGAAGUCAUCUCAGAACACACAACUGAGUCUCAUGUGUUCCAGACUGGCCUCAAGUUUGCUAUAAGACCAAGCCUAACUUUGAAUGAGUGAUCCUCCUGCUUCUACAUUCUAAGUUGCUGGACUUACAGAUGUGCACCACCACACCCCGUUUAUAAAAGAGCGCAGCAGAAAGAGCUGUACUGGGGUUCAAAUCUUAACAUAGCCUUUUUCUGUACCCACGUGGCAGACACUUUUGGUCACCGUCUGAUGGUUAAUAUUCAUAUCAGCUUGAUAGAUUUAGAAUCACCAUGGAAAUGUAUAUCUGGCUGUGUCUAUGGGAGUAUUUCCAGGAAGGUUUAAUUUCUAGGAAGCAUUUAUUAGACUUCCUGCUUCCUGGCUGCAAAGACACAAUGUGACCAAGCUGCCUCAGACUGCUGCUGCCUUGACCUACCCAUCAUGAUGGACGCCAACUUUGAGCACCAGCACUGCGUAAACCAGGCAUGCUGGUACACUGUAGUUCAGUACUCAGGAGGACCAGGAAGAUCAAAAGCAUCGUGGAGUUCAAAGCCAGCCAGGACUACAGAAGACCCUGUCUCAAACCAAAGUCAAACAAAACCAGGAGAAGUACAAUUGUCUUCCUGUUGGAGGCUGGUGAAUGAAAAUGAGGACAUGACUACUCCCAGGUGUGGCUGAAGAGAAGGUUUUAUUAUAGAUAUGAGAGAGAGCGCAGCCAGAUGCAUCUGGAAGAGUCCAGACUGAACUGGGCUAUGAGAGGAGUAAAGGUAGUGGGGGAGGAUGAGAGAGGUGGAGGAAGCAGAGAACCCGGAGGCCAAGAGGCCUGUAGCCAAAAUGGCUGAGUUUAUAUGGGAAAGAGGAGGUGGGGAAAGGGAAUGGCAACCCUUUCCCUGGAGAGGUUCAGAGUAGGGGGCUGGGUGAGAGGUGCUGAGAGGAGCCACAGGUACCCAGCAGAACUUGUUCUGGGUUUCUUUGAGACCUAACAGCAGAUACCACACCAGACAUCUUGCUAUGAAAAGGGCAGCAACUCAAAAGCAUUAAGGAAACACAGUGAACAGGACGAAAUAGAAGGAAUGUACCUUAGACCCUGUUUCCCAGUCCAGAAGCUAAAUUACCCUGUCCUGGGGCAACCGACCUUAUUCCUGGUCUGCUUCCCUCAGACUGUCAGUUCCUUAUUGUUCCCUGAAGGUCCCCCUCCCAUCUCAGUCCAGUAGUACCUAUGUUGCUAUGACUGUCAGAGCCUCCCAACCCAACAGAUCUAAGGACCUGGUGCCAAGUGACCAAAGAUCAUGACAGAUGGCGAGAAAGGAGUCUGAGCAGUUCAAAGGUACCAAAUGCAGAAAAACAUCAAGUUCAAACUCAAGGGGCGGCGCCCCAGUGUAGCUUGGUGGGCUGAGAAAAUGAGCCUCCUUUUUGUGCCUUUUUUUUAAACAAAACAAAAAACCCUGGUCGUAGUUAAACAUCCCAGGCACAGUCCUUUCUAAUUGCUGGCACCCACCUUCGAAGCUGGGUGGUCCCUGUUCACCCUGGGGCACGGAAGGCCUACCACAGGAUGAAGGGGGUGGGGAUGUGAUGUGGUGGGAUUUGGAAGCUGACCGAACAGUAUGAGAGGCAGAAACUUGACUCAGCCCCACUGAGCCCCGACUCUCCUGCACACCACUGUGGGAUGAGGCCUCCUUUGGGGGUGGUGUGUGUCCAGCUCAACCUUUGGCUGGCUGACCACGGCCAGCCUCACAGUCUCCACUUCUCAGUUCUGGGAGCUCAGCAUCUUCAACUGUGAGCAUGCCGUGCCUGCACAGCCUUGUGGUACAGCCAUGGCGGCAGGGAAUGGGCCCCUUCUAGAGGACGCUGUGGAACCAAAGAACCCUAAAGGGGGUUCUUUGCAUAAGCCAGGAGGGAACCGGGAAGAGGGGCCUCUGAGGCUCCCUUUUCAAAGACCAUAGCACCUUAGAAAUCUGUCCCAGGUUCCUGUCCCGUGGGUUUCCCACAGUGACGGACACUCAUCAAUUCUUCCCACCAAGCGGAGGCGACAGUCUUUCAUUCGAGAUGCCAUGCUCCUGUUAGCCACCGGAGGGCGGCAAGACAGCCAUGAAGAGCAAGAUCAGAAUCAAAAGGCCCUCCAAUGGUCUGUAAGCUUCUCUCUGAACUUCACCUCAAAAAAGUCCAAAUAUCAAGGAAAGAAGUGGGAAGGGGAGUCUGUUGCCUUUUAACGUGGGGCGAUAGUGCCGUGACAGUGCCACAAAUCUCUGGUGUAGGCUAGAGGGGAAACUGAGGCAUGGCUAGGUUCGAAUCUUGGUGUCUGGCAUGCCAUGCCUCUCCCUCGGCUCUGGAGUCAGCUGAAGAUGAGGCGGUUGACAGAGAGGGAGUAGGAGAGCUAGGAAGCAGUUCCAGAGAGCCAGUGACUAACUCUGGGGAAAAAGGUUCUGAGCUGGCGGUGGAGUUUGGCUCGAGGCAGGCAGGGCAAGGCAUGGUGGGAGUAAGGGUGUAGGAGGAACUACUUCCCCAUCCGUCCAGAACAUGAUCUGCUGAGGCCCAAAGAAAUAAAGACUUCCAAGAACGCCUAGUACCAGCCUUGGCUCUGUGUCUGUAGUACAAUAGCCUUAGGCAAGCCGCCUCCUCUUGACAGGUUUCUUCCCCUCCGAGUCAAACGUGGAGGACCUGGACUAGCUAGGUCCGGUGUGAGAAUGCCAAGCCCUUCACUUCCCCCUCUGGCAGACCCUCACCUCCCCGGCACCCGGGACACGCCCCUAAUGGGGA
Molecule: long non-coding RNA, 2924 nt
Organism: Meriones unguiculatus (Mongolian gerbil)
Lineage: Eukaryota; Metazoa; Chordata; Mammalia; Rodentia; Muridae
Exons: 3
Source: RefSeq, a predicted model, not a curated record